RNAcentral lists this long non-coding RNA (1096 nucleotides) under Apteryx rowi (Okarito brown kiwi). RNAcentral describes it as "lncRNA (ENSARWG00000006148.1)". The record is from RNAcentral. Lineage: Eukaryota; Metazoa; Chordata; Aves; Apterygiformes; Apterygidae.
GGGGGCGAGCGGUUGUCAUGGAGACCCCCCCCACGGCUGGGCUGUUCCCGGUUGCGUCCUCCUCUCCCGCGCGGGCCCCCCCGGAGCGUAGGGAGGGGGGAAGGGAUGGAGACCCCCCCCCUCCCACCCCACCGCGGGGUCCUGGCUGGGCUCCCCCCUUCGGGACAGGUCGGCGGGGGCGGGGGGACACCGGCGGCCGGAGCUGUCCACCGGGCGGCCGCUGACAGGCGGCCCCGGAGCCGCGGGAGCCUCCCGAGCUCGCGGAGGGCAGGCGAGGAGCCGGGAGCCCGGCGCGCUCCGUCCCGGCGGGAUCCGCUCCCUUCCCUCCGGCCGCCCCGAGAGCCGCGGCUGCUCACGCAUCUCCGCGCCGAAGGAAACACCUGGUCUCCAAGCGCAGCAGCAGCAGCUAAAUGUCUCGGUCCUUUUCUUGUUGUGAGGUCUCCACUGCUGCUCAGAAGAUGGAGCACUUUUUUAUUUUUAGUAACAAUAUCUCUCAUGCUGGGAUGGAAGAAUCUUAAACCAAUUAAACACAUUAGAAGAUAACAGUGUGUAUGGGUUUGGUUCAAGAUCUCCAUUUUCUUCACUCUAGGGUAUGUCCUAGUACCAGCCUUUCUGUCCAAGAUGACAGAAAUAGUGUUAUAAGCUGCUAACUAGAUAAGCAGUACACCUGCUGCUUUGUCAGAUAUUCCCUUGCCAAAAAAAAUCACUAGUGAUGGGUUUUGCUUUUUUUUUUUUUAAUUACAUUACAGGAGGUUCUAUAAAUGAUCUAAAUUUUGAUUUAGGAAAUCGUUUUCAGAUUUCUGUUUCUUUUUAAAGAUUUCUUUUUUAAGAGAAGGGAAGGAAAGGAAGAAGGAGAGAAAGACGGAAAAAAGCAAGAUGAUCCAUUAGUUAGAGUACUGGUAUAGCACUUGGGUGGCUGGAUCAGUUCCCUGUGAAAUGUUGGGUUUGCCAUUCUGGAUAGUGUAUUGUCUCCAGUUCAGAAGUACUUGUCUAYUCAGCUUGGCACUACACAACGUAUGGCCAGGCCUGUGAGCUCCUAACUCCUGCUGAAAUUGGUGGUGAAUAAAUAGCAAGUAAAUACCUUUGAAGAGCCUCA